Molecule: non-coding RNA, 339 nt
Organism: Sturnus vulgaris (Common starling)
Lineage: Eukaryota; Metazoa; Chordata; Aves; Passeriformes; Sturnidae
Source: RefSeq, a predicted model, not a curated record
UGCGAGGCCGCGCGGGACCACGACUGCAAAUGUCCCCAAGGGUUCAGCUGCGCCGACGAGCCCUGCCAGUACUGCCAGAGAGUGCCCCGCUGUGGGCCCGGCUACCAGCCCCACAGGAUCGGAGAGGUGAGUUUCUUGUUUGAGUGCCAGCCCUGUGAGAACGGGACCUACUCCAGCAGCAGGAACGACUGGUGCCACAACUGGACUGACUGUGAGAGCAGCGGGUUCGUCACUCUCCGGGCAGGGAACAGCACCCACAACUCCGUGUGCAGCUUACCUGUGCGAGCCCUGGAGCCAGGUACUGAGAAAUCCCAAAAAACGGGGAGAAUCCCGGGAAAA